This is a long non-coding RNA of Tachysurus vachellii, 1009 nucleotides long. RefSeq lists it as uncharacterized. The record is from RefSeq and is a predicted model, not a curated record. The transcript has 5 exons. NCBI's taxonomy places the organism in Eukaryota, Metazoa, Chordata, Actinopteri, Siluriformes, Bagridae.
CAGGAACUUGAGAUUUGCCAUCAAUAAUCGUGUUGCUCAUUAAAGAUCAAACAGGUGCUUGAUUGUUCCCUUAUAUACCUUGAGGCAUCUCAGCAUGGAUUUUUUCAGUAGCCAAUGGAGGUGUGGUCAUGUUAUGGAUGAACUGGACUCUGAAGUUCCUCCUUGGGGUUGUGUUGAAAGCUUCACCAACAAGUCAGUGAUGUUCACAGUGAACACCACAAAACACUGCAUUAAAUUCAUCUGAAACAAGGAGAAAACACCCAUAAAGGAUGAGGACAACAAUGUAAACAAUAUUGUCUUUGACUACGGACCAAACUGGAUUCUUCUUAACAGGAACUUCUCAGGGAUUAACUUCAGGUGUAUGGAUCCAUAUCACGAGGUGUGUUAAUUAGUAACUCUUAAUUAAUCCUGAUUUACAUAAACCCUGCAAAUCACUCUUACACACUCUUUUAUUAAUGUUUUUAAACAGUUUACCACACUUCAGUGCACAGAUCAGUGCAAACCUGGAGAAGUCCCUGUACUGACCUCUCCAUUCAAUGUUUCUGUCUUCAUUGUGAUCAUCAUCAUAAUCAUCAUCAUCAUCACCAUCGUCAUCAUCAUCUGGAAGACACUCCAUCCACAUGUGUGCUUUUUCUAACCACGACCUUGCUUUAAAAUGAUCCCACUUUUGUGAUUAAUACAAACCUGGCAACCUGGAAUGUGAGCUAGCUUACUAGGAGUUAGCUAACUCGUGAAGAAGGAACAUUAGCUAAUGUUAUGGUGAAGAGAAUGAUGGAUUUUUUUUUUGUGUGAGUGCUUUAUAAUAAGGACCCUUAGAUGUAAUGCUGCCUGUGUUGCUACCUUCUGUCUGAAUGAGUCACUGUAUAAAAAUGUUCUACAUUCUGAAAUGUUUGUGAUGAUAAUAUAAUUAAAUAUUUUCACUGACACAUGAUUUGUAGAUAUACGUCUAGAUCUAUAUCUAUAUACUCUAUAACUUUUAAUAUUAUAUAUAAGCAGCUCUGUAUGCUAC